This 2374-nucleotide long non-coding RNA is filed under the name Sus scrofa (pig). RNAcentral's name for it is "lncRNA (ENSSSCG00000056018.1)". Lineage: Eukaryota; Metazoa; Chordata; Mammalia; Artiodactyla; Suidae. The record is from RNAcentral.
CUGCACCCUUGGCACAUGGUGGUUCCCAGGCUAGGGGUCGAACUGAAGCUGUAGCUGCCGCCUGCACCACAGCCACAGCAAUGCCAGAUCCGAGCCAAAUCUGUGACCUACACCACAGCUCACAGCAAUGGCAGAUCCUUAACCCACUGAGCGAGACCAGGGAUUGAACUUGUGUCCUCAUGGUUACUAGUCAGAUUCGUUUCCACUGAGCCGCAAUGGGAACUUCCUCUUAUAUAAAUUUUAAUGAACUAUGUAUGUGGGAUAGCUAACUAUCCUAUGGGUAUUGAAGUUGGUGCAACUACCUUCUCCAUCAAGCAUUUUCUCAUUUCUUUUUUUUUAUGUAGAGGAGUUUGUGGGAUUUUUUUGGCUGUGCCCAUAGCAUGCAAAAAUUUCCGGGCCUUGGAUUGAACCCGAACCACAGCAGGGACCCAAGCUGAUGCACUGACAAUGCUGGAUCCCUAACCUGCUGCACCACAAGAGAACUCCAAGGAGUUUUUAUCUUAUAAUAAAUAUUUCAUUUUUUUGCUAACUUUUCUCUUUUUUUAAAGUUAGCACAUUAAUCCAUCUGUAGUCUAUUUUGGUUUAUAAGGGAGAGCUCUAAAUUAAAAUUCUUCAAUGCUAUCCGGCUUCCCAAUGUCAUUCAUUUUUAAUUAUUUUUUAAUUAUUUUUUUAUAAAGUGUUCUAAUGACGAACAGGCUAGCCUUAUGGCUUGCUCAUUUUUUUUUUUUUUUUUGGAAUGUCCUUUGAAACCCUCCUCUGUUCCUUUUUCCAGGCUCUGUUGAGUUCAGAAAAAUACUGUUGGGAUUGACUGAAGAAGGUAGGUUAUGUUUGUAAAUUAACCUAAAGCACUGAGACAUUUUCACCAGAGCCAAUGUGAUCAUCUUGAAAUAUAUGCUGCCUCUCACCCUGCCCCCACCCCAUCAAGUUUGCAAUUUUCUUUAUAAAGGUCAGGCAUAUAUUAUGUUUAUUCCUAAGUAUGUUAGAGCACUUGUUUCUAUUAUAAAUGGAUGUUUUCAUUAUAUUUUCUAGCUAUUGCUAGCAUUCAGGAAAACCAUCAAUUCUUAUGCUUGUAGCUUGCAUUCAUCUUCCUCCUUAAACUUAAUUCAUAAAUUUUUACUGAUCCUUUUGUAUCCACUAUCCAUGCAAAUGUUCUCAUGCUGCCCAUCCCUGCCCCCAGCUUAUUUUAUCUUGCCUUUCUGAAUUGAUGAGGCUGUUCAAAGUUGUUCAUCCUCAAGUUCAAGUGAAACUCCCUUAAAUCUUUUGAGGAACUUGAUAGGAUGUCCGUUAACUGGUUCAUUAAUUAUCAGUGUGAUGUUAACAGGAGUUCAUUUUUGUUCCUAGAUUUGAACUUAGCUUAUCAGUGCUGAUUUUUGGUUUAAAUAGGUAUGCUUGGAGUUCCCUGGUGGCCUAGGAGUUAAGGAUUCGGCAUUGUCACUGCUGUGGCUCAGGUUCAGUUCCCGGCCCCGAAACUUCUGCAGGCCAUGGGUGAGGUCAAAAAGUUUUUUGUUAAUAAAAAAACAAAAUAAAAUAAAAUAGGUAUGCUUCAUUCUAUUGAAGAAUCCGUUAACUCUUAAAUUAUAAUUUUAAAAAUGUCUGAAUGCUAAAUUAUUUGGAGAGUGACUAGUAAGAUGAUUUUAUGCCUUUCAUUUUGGUCUUCAUGUUGAAUUAAUAAUGAAAUUUGCCCCUAGUGACAGAGCUAGAUUUUCAACCCAGGCCUUUCAACUUCCAGCCCCAUGUUAUUUGAUCAAGUCAUCAUUUUAGGAAGGUAUGUUUUCGUUUACGAAGGCUUGAGCAUAGCUUCUAGCUGUGUAAUGACUAGCAAGCACAGGCGCAUAAAAGAUGUUUUCAGAUAGAAUUCUUUCUGCCUUUCCGGGCACCUGGGUUUCAAUUGGCAGUCACGAAAGACGCAGUACCAAGCAUCUCCAAGAGUGAUUCUUCAAUUUUAAAAACUUGUAAAGACCAGAGGAGUCACUGAAACUGAUGGCGACCUCUCACUGAGAGCCAACGUCCAUCUCCAGCCUCCCUCCCUCGGGUGACGUGGUAGUGCCCCCAGAGCCUGCACUCCAGUCCCUUCCAGACUCCUGGUCUGCUCCCCAGACACCCCCACCCACCGCCAGCCUUCCCCAUGCAGCAGUCUGCCCCCACUGCACUCUCUCUGGUUGCUUCUUUCUGCUGCGCUGGGGGAGACUUUUGUUCUGCUCCAAUUAGCCAGAACAGUUACAGCUUCACUGGGAUCUGGGCUGAAAGAGGAGCCCUGCACAGCACCCACACCUCCUGGGCAAACACAGUGCAGCCCCGGGCAGCUAAAGAACCUCUUACUCCAAACCACCCAUGAGCCACCUGUUUCCAGGACGGUCCCACGGACCCCUCACUU